GAAUCGAAUAAAAUCACCAUACUGAACUCUGAAAUAUUAUACCUUAAUCUAAAAACAAAAAUCCUUGCUUAACCCCAAAUAAGAACUUUCAGUUUCAUCUCCAAAGUUAAUUGCAAGUAUUUCUGACAUAAAAAGCUCAAGCAAGACUGCAGAAGGAUACACACACACACACACACACGCGCGCAAAAAGCUCAGCCUCCAAUCCCCACCCACCAGUCUCAGUCAAAGGAUGACUUCAGUCCCUUUCUUAACUAAUCCUGUCACUGUAAAAUCCUACACUCAUUCUUCCACACACAGAGGGAAAAGGGACUCACUAGGAAGACCUAGUCUUUCAGUUUUAACUAUUAACCAAUAGUGGAAAAACAAGGAUGCCUAAGUUAUGCCUUCAGAGCCAAUAGGGUGGAUUUGUGUGUCCCACAUGACAGCAUUUCCCCUGUCUUUCACAUGAGCAGUAUUUAGUUCAAUUCAGAAUUGCAGAUAGUACAGCUUGCACUGCAGCAAUGGGAUGUCUGAGCACAAGUGACUGACUUCCGAGUGACUUUAUAAAACACUUUUGUACUUUCCUUCUGCAUUAAAUUGGGAUCUGCAUCCUUGACAUUCACCCACCACACACAUCUCUACUGAAGGAAACAGUGACUAGCACAACUUAGCAGUAUGAAACUGCCCUAUGCUCAAAUACCACAAAGAAGGGCAUAAGAAGCAGCAUUGAACUGAAUAUGAAGGCAAAAUUCCCAUUGACUUCCGUGUUUAUCUGCACCAGAGGAACUGGAGCAGAAUUGCAGACCAACAAACGAAGUGAGCUGAAGGCAUUUUGACCAAUGUCUUCUGUGUGAAUUCCACAGAGGCUGAUGAAGCAUGUUAUCAGGUCUCCAAGAGGAAGGCUCUAACAUCAGAUAUAAACAAAGGAACUGCUUUCUUUGAAAUUCAGCUGUUUUAAGGCCAGAGAAUUGUUCUUUUGGGGCCUGAUCCGGCAAGACCUCACAUGGGCUACUCCACUGAAUACAAGAGAGAUUACUCAGAAUCCUUAAGAUUCCAGCGAGAGUCCAGAGACAAAAAGUAGACGCUAAGAACAGGUUCAUUUGCCACAUUUCACUUAAAACAAAGUCCAGUGUCAAUACAAUAUGAAGAUGUGGCAUUUGAGAGGGUUUUAUAUAUAUAAUUUUAUAUAUUUAAAAAUGGAGAAACAACAUGAACAAUGGAACAGAAGAACAGGUAAACUGGUUUUAAAAGGGAAUAAAAAGGAGCCAAUAAUUAUGCCUCACUCUACUUGCAAAUCAUGCUCAGGACCUCAUAUAGUGUGAACUGGCCUAGCUCUAUUGAUACCAAUAGAGCUAUGCCAAUUUAUACUAGCGGAGGAUCUGUCUUAAUACCAUUUUUAGAUACUGCCACUGGAAUUCACACUUUCGUGUCAAAAUUGAAAAAGAGUUUGAAAAUGCACUCUCUUUCUUCCUUCUCCAAGUGUAUAACUGAAGGCUUGCUGACUGUGGGAGAUUAAUGAAAGUAGCCAAAAACUGUGCACAAGUGAUAGUUUGUGACACGUGCAGAACAAUGUGUUUUUGCCCCUUGCUUCUAGACAAAUGAAUAUUUAUAUGCAAGGCAUAAUUUUCCCUGUAGUAACAAUUUAACAACAUCAAGGAGAUGCUAUUAACUGUUAAAUGUUGUCAGUGCAAGUUAAAGAUGCUGUAAGCCACUCAAAGCCUUUACCACUGAGCUACAUUAACAUAAUCUUUCAAUCAGUGCAGAAGCUGCAUAGAAUUUUUUUUUAAAUGUAUCCCUAAAAAGCUAUGCUAGGAGUGCAAUUCUUAGAACCUGUAUGUACUUGCAAGAAAUCCCCAAUUCCAGACUAUUUGUAUAACCAGGUGCUUGUCUUACAAUCUCACUGCAUGUAAAGGCAGCAAGAUAGAUUCAAAAGGAUGUUCAAUGCAGUCAACAUGGAUCCAGACUUAUUUGGCAUCUAUCAUGUAUUCCGCAAUCGGUGGGUGGGUGUGUGGAGGCGGAAAAAGGAAGGUGAGGGACAAAGAAGAGGGCAGGGAAGAGUUUCAAAUGAAAGCUGCAGUCACUAUUUCCAAAUAGGGAAAGGAAGCCUAAUUAACUAUACCAUAUAGGGAAACUGUAAACAUGAGUGGUAGUGAACAGUGAAAUCUAGUUGCUGAUAUUAGCCAAUAUUAUGCAGUUAAACAUUCUUCUUUGAUACCAGAUAAAAAAGUCAAGAUGUGGACUCCUGUUAAUUAGGAGUUGAGAUGCAGCUUCCUCAGCAGCAAAGUAAUGGUUUGUGCAACACACACCCCCCAUAUCUUCAAUUUAGGUCAGCCAUCAAGAGGAGGAAAAAAGGACUGGAGACUGAAGAUGAGAUGCUCUAUUUCACACAGUUGCCCUCUGGAAGGACUGGCAAAGGCAGUCACUUAAAUUAAGUGCAGGUCAUCAGACAAGAUAUAUAAUCUAUUCCUGAAACAGACAAUCUCAACAGCCCAAAUCCCUAUGGCCUUUACAGCGACACAAUGAACUACUUCCUCAUGUACCUCUGUCAAUUCACGUUAGGUUCCUACUUUUUUAAAAGUGAUAUUUCAUGUACAUUAUGACCCUAUUGCUCAUAGCAAGGAAAGUGCUUUGGUUUAUUUAUGACCUACUAACCUUAAAUUAAAAAAAAGCAUACAAGUAAUCUGAAUGUUCUCAUAAGCCUGGAGAUUUGAAAUAAAACUUAAAAUAAAUCUGGCAUUUGUAGUACAGCCAGCUAAGCUAUAUUUGCCCAGUUGGGAAUUUUUUUUUUUUAAAUGAAAACCAGAUGACAAGAGGAAAGCAUUAUUACCCUACAUAAACUGCAGGUUUGGGGCAUCGGGACUGCAGCUCAUGAGUGCCUGGAUUUCUCAUGAGCCUCUGCUUCCAUCAGCGUAGAGUUAAAUAAAGCAACACUGUGGUUUUACAUCUAUCUCCAGUCUAGAAGACUAGAAUGAAAAGCCAGCUGUAGUUUUUGAGAUAGAAUUUAACCCAGCCACAGAACCUAACCUUGGAAAUAGAGAGGUUGGUUAUCAGCCAGGCAACAUUUUGUGUGUGUGUGUGUGUGUGUGUGUGUGUGUGUGUGUGUGUGUGUGUGUGUGUGAGAGAGAGAGAGAGAGAGAGAGUGUGGGGGGGGGGGGGAAGUGACAGAAAAGGAGAAGUCGUACUAAAAGAAAUGGAGAAUAAAAAGCAAACAUCCUCCCUCUUCUAUGCUAAAAUGUGAGUGACCCUAAACUGCUCAUUUAGCUGGGACAACAUUGACCACACGCAGAUCAGAACAAAGGCCUGUCGAAUCCAAGAGCCUGAUUCUCCACUCACUCAUGAUGAUGUAAAUCAGGAGUAACUUCACUGAAGCCAAUGGAGUUGCACUGGAAUAAAACCAGUGUGAGUGAGCAGAUAAUCAAGCCACAAGACUGUGGUCUGCUAUAUGUGGAUACAUCACAAGUUCUUGGCUGUAUUGGCAAAACAAGUUUACUCUGCAUUUACUUUGAAUUCUGAAGCUUUCACAAUUGCAAGUGAUUCAUUUCCCAGGCCAAAAAAAAAAGAAAAAAAGAAAAAGGAGCCUCCUGUCUACAACACACACUGUAGCCCGCAGAAGAAAGAGGACUCCAGUUUAUGCUACUACAGUCAUGCUGAUGUGCACCAGUAUGAUUUUCUGUUCGAUAAAGGACAGCAAAUAAUUUAUCUUAGUUUACUAUUACAUGUUUAAAAAGUGGGGCAAUCAAUUCCAGUAUAUGCAGGUCUCAUAAAUAUAAAGGGAAGGGGGUUAAGAAGCUCUGAUACAGUACUAUAAAAUCCUCUUACCUGUAAAGGGUUAAGAAGCUCGGGUAAACUGGCUGGCACCUGACCAAGAAAUGACCAAUGUGGGGACAAGAUACUUUUAAAUCUGGGGUGGGUGGGGGGUGGUGGAGAGAGAGAAAGGCUGUGUGUCUGUGGGAUACCUUUGCCGGGAACAGACCAAGGAUGCAAGCCCUCCAACUCCUGUAAAGUUAGUAAGUAAUCUAGCUAGAAAAUGCAUUAGAUUUUUCUUUUGUUUUUGGCUUGUGAAAUUCACUGUGCUGGAGGGCAUGUGUAGUUCUGUUUUUGUGGUUUUUUUGUAACUUAAGGUUUUGCUUAGAGGGAUUCUCUAUGUUUUGAAUUGGAUUACCCUGUAAAGUAUUUACCACCCUGAUUUUACAGAGGUGAUUCUUUUACCUUUUCUUUAAAUAAAAUUCUUCUUUUAAGAACCUGAUUGCUUUUUCAUUGUUCUUAAGAUCCAAGGGUUUGGGUCUGUGUUCACCUAUACAAAUUGGUGAGGAUAUUAUCAAGCCUUUCCCAGGAAAGGGGAUGUAGGGCUUGGGGGAAUAUUUUGGGGGAAUAGGACUCCAACGGGUCCUUUCCCUGUUCUUUGUCUAAAUCACUUGGUGGUGGCAGCAUACUGUUCAAGGACAAGGCGGAAUUUGUGCCUUGGGAAAAAGUUUUUAACCUAAGCUGGUAAAAAUAAACUUAGGGGGUCUUUCAUGUGGGUCCCCACAUCUGUACCCUAGAGUUCAGAGUGGGGAGGGAACCUGACAUGGUGCUAGCAGUGGGAUCAUUUUUGAACCAAAAGCACAGCAGGAUUUUUAAAAGGACAAUUUUUUCUCUCUGCUUGAAAAACAGGGAGAGUUUUUUAAAGCUGAUUAGAGCUGCAGGUUCUGUCCCUUUGCCUGGAGACAGAGCAGCCGCAUAACAAAAGUAUCACACAGACAGACAAAGCCUUCCCCAGGCCCCCAGAUUUGAAAGUAUCUUGUCCCCCCAUUGGUCAUUUCAUGGUCAGGUUCCAGCCAGGUUACCCGAGCUUCUUAACCCUUUACAGGUAAGAGGAUUUUAUAGUACUGUAUCAGAGCUUCUUAACCCCUUCCCUUUACAUUUAUGGCAGCAGGGCAAAUCAGUUAAAAGAAAUAGCUAUGACUUAAAGUCCUUGUCACGGAGCCUUAUUUAUCAUACUAAAGGAAAUAGCACAGAGUCAUGAUAUGUGAUGUCUUUUAGCUUUGGGGUUCCAUUUAUGUGAAUAUUAGCAAGUUGAACAAGAGAUGCUUGAAGUGAAAAUAGGUUAUGCAUUGAUAUGCCAAAUAUACCACACCAACCCCACUUGGAAACAAGAUUUCAGAUGCAGCACUUAAUGAAAACCAACAAGUCAUCGGUUUCAUGAUAACUAGUUCUGCUGCACAGUAAGAUAAAAACUCUCUAGUUGAGCUUGAACCUUUCAAGGGAUUUCUCUUCUGCAGACCAAUUCUGCUUGCCAGUGCAGAUAGUAAGCAAGGUAGAUGAGUAUGAAUCAGAGGACAAAGUGAGACUUGUCUUUCCACUUCCCAACCCUUCCAAUUAAUGGCCAAAGACGACAAAUCUUUGUUGCGUUACACAUGAAUUGCAAUACUACGUACGCUUCCUUUUCUCUAAAAGCCAGUUUUGAUAGAAGAGAAAGUCUAAAUGAACUGGCAAAGUUUAGAAGAAAGGCAAACAACUUCCAUUAUUGCUGGAGCCUUAUCAGAAUGAGCACUUCACGAAGCGUGAUAAUCAAAUCCUUGAUAUGGACAAGACACUUCAAACAAACAAAAACAAAAAAAGCCUACCACACACACAUCCCAUUGCACUCCAAGAAGGAAUCUCUAGGUUAGAAUGAGCCAGAUAAGUUCACCUCUUACUUUCAUAACAGGGGGAGCAAACUGAAAUUUACAUUUAAAGAAAGUCUAACACUGCAUCAGAUUGCAAUCUGAUUACCUCUAAACUAGUAUAAUGGGAUUUCAGUUGACUUCUUAGGUUAGGCAGAUGUGUGUGGUGGAUAUGUAUGUAGAAGGGCUUUCUAAAUUAGAUUAAUUGUAUGGGUUGUAUAGAAGCAUUUGAAGAAACAGGAUGCUCCUUUUAGAGCAGACAAUUAUUUAAUAUAAUGCUACUGGCAUAUACGGUGAUUUACAAAGAGAAUGAAGUAGUUCUACCUCCCCAUCUUCCCCUAGAAGCUUAUUGAGAAACAAAAGCUGCUUAAAACAGUCAAUACCCAACAACCUUAAACAGAUUCAGGUUUGAUUGAAUUUACCCAGCAGAAGAGACUUUAUUGGGACUGGGCAAUCUAUUAGUGACGUUGCUGGUUCAUUUUGCUUUUACCCAGUUGUGUCGAGGUAUGGGAUUGCACACUCUGAUUAACGUGAGUCAAACCAUGGAGCUAAACAACACUAGAUAUUUCAGUCUAGAUUUCCAAACUAGAUAAAUAAAGCUUUUAAAUAAAUGAAACAGACCUUUUCUUUUCAUAGGAUCAAAGCCUGGAGUGUUGCCAGUUCCUUGCUGUAGGACUGUAAUAGAAUGGGCCAAGGAGGGUGGGUGAUGGUGCUAAGGGAACAAUGACAAACUGAAUAAUCUGUAUGAUUAAAACCACUGUGUCAGUUAUGAUUCCCCCUCCCCUUUCAGAUUUUUAAGGAUGCUGUCAAGUCCGUGGAGUUCUGUUUUUAGUGGUUGCUUCAGUGAACAUUCAACGCUGUCGGCCUUUCACUGAAGACAGCUGCCAAACCAGCACACAAGGUAUCUCUUACCCCUACCCCAUCCUCUUUGCAAAGCUUUACUAAAAAGGUCACAAUCAACAUUCAUUGCUGUCGGUGGGUUUAACUAUGUGGACAAGCUCACUGAACAAUGAAUGCAACUGUGGCCCCACUUUUUGCGAUCACAGUCAAGAGGAAUAUCAGCUCUGAAAGCAGCAUUGAAAGUCUUUCAUAUAUGAAACUUUUCUGAUCAAAAGACGAAUAUCUUCAGGAUUUUUUGUUUUAAGCUGGUUUGACUUAGAUGGUUGAGACAACAAUCACUCCUCCCUGGAGUUGAUUACAACAUAAAGGGAGAUCAUUCUGCCAUUAAUAUCUCUUACUUACUACAGAUAUGAACAAAAACUCUGGUAUAGAAAAAGCCUCCCUGUAUGCAUGCCUGAGGACACUGAGCACAGGAAAGAUGGUUGAAAACACUUCUAAAAUAAUAAAUAAUAAUAAUAAAUAAUAAUAAUAAUAAUCAAAUUUAUGCACUGCAACAUUGCACAUGCAAAGAGAUGACAGCUGUGUGUGUCCUUGGCACAACAAGACAAACCCACCCCAAAAUUUCUUGCAAAUGGGAGCGUUAGUUAAAGAACGGCGAUAAUAUUCCUUAAUUUGGUGUAAUACAAUUCAUUGUUAUGUGAAGUUUAUUUAAACACCUAAUAAACAUUAAAAUACAAAUCUUA
Long non-coding RNA from Chelonia mydas (Green sea turtle), 7207 nucleotides. RefSeq lists it as uncharacterized. The record is from RefSeq and is a predicted model, not a curated record. NCBI's taxonomy places the organism in Eukaryota, Metazoa, Chordata, Testudines, Cheloniidae. The transcript is spliced from 7 exons.